GAUGAACGCUGGCGGCGUGCUUAACACAUGCAAGUCGAACGAUGAAGCCCAGCUUGCUGGGUGGAUUAGUGGCGAACGGGUGAGUAACACGUGAGUAACCUGCCCUUAACUCUGGGAUAAGCCUGGUAAACUGGGUCUAAUACCGGAUAGGAGCGUCCACCGCAUGGUGGGUGUUGGAAAGAUUUAUCGGUUUUGGAUGGACUCGCGGCCUAUCAGCUUGGUGGUGAGGUAAUGGCUCACCAAGGCGUCGACGGGUAGCCGGCCUGAGAGGGUGACCGGCCACACUGGGCCUGAGACACGGCCCAGACUCCUACGGGAGGCAGCAGUGGGGAAUAUUGCACAAUGGGCGCAAGCCUGAUGCAGCGACGCCGCGUGAGGGAUGACGGCCUUCGGGUUGUAAACCUCUUUCAGUAGGGAAGAAGCGAAAGUGACGGUACCUGCAGAAGAAGCACCGGCUAACUACGUG
RNAcentral lists this ribosomal RNA (466 nucleotides) under uncultured bacterium. RNAcentral describes it as "partial 16S ribosomal RNA". It matches the Rfam family "Bacterial small subunit ribosomal RNA", at positions 28 to 507 of the family's 1533-position model. The record is from RNAcentral.